CCUACGGGAGGCAGCAGUGGGGAAUAUUGCACAAUGGGGGCAACCCUGAUGCAGCGACGCCGCGUGAGUGAAGAAGGACUUCGUUAUGUACAGCUCUAUCAGCAGGGAAGAAAAUGACGGUACCUGAGGAAGAAGCCCCGGGUAACUACGUGCCAGCAGCCGAGGUAAUACGUAGGGGGCAAGCGUUAUCCGGAUUUACUGGGUGUAAAGGGAGCGGAGACGGCGAUGCAAGUCUGGCGUGAAAGGCGGGGGCACAACCCCCGGACUGCUCUUGAAACUGUACGGCUGGAGUGCAGGAGGGGUAAGUGGAAUUCCUAGUGUAGCGGUGAAAUGCGUAGAUAUUAGGAGGAACACCAGUGGCGAAGGCGGCUUACUGGACUGUAACUGACGUUGAGGCUCGAAAGCGUGGGGAGCAAACAGGAUUAGAUACCCCGGUAGUC
Molecule: ribosomal RNA, 440 nt
Filed under: uncultured bacterium
Lineage: Bacteria
Description: partial 16S ribosomal RNA
Rfam family: Bacterial small subunit ribosomal RNA
Source: RNAcentral